Molecule: ribosomal RNA, 317 nt
Filed under: uncultured soil bacterium
Lineage: Bacteria
Description: bacterial SSU rRNA
Rfam family: Bacterial small subunit ribosomal RNA
Source: RNAcentral
AGAUUGAACGCUGGCGGCAGGCCUAACACAUGCAAGUCGAACGAGACCUUCGGGUCUAGUGGCGCACGGGUGCGUAACGCGUGGGAAUCUGCCCUUGGGUUCGGGAUAACAGUUGGAAACGACUGCUAAUACCGGAUGAUGACUUCGGUCCAAAGAUUUAUCGCCCAGGGAUGAGCCCGCGUAGGAUUAGCUAGUUGGUGAGGUAAAGGCUCACCGAAGCGUACGAUCCUUAGCUGGUCUAGAGAGGAUGACUCGAGCCACACUGGGACUGGAGACACGGCCCAGACUCCGUACGGGAGGCAGCGAGUGGGAAUAGU